UACGGAGGGGGCUAGCGUUGUUCGGAAUUACUGGGCGUAAAGCGCACGUAGGCGGCUUUGUAAGUCAGGGGUGAAAUCCCGGGGCUCAACCCCGGAACUGCCCUUGAGACUGCAUCGCUUGAAUCCAGGAGAGGUGAGUGGAAUUCCGAGUGUAGAGGUGAAAUUCGUAGAUAUUCGGAAGAACACCAGUGGCGAAGGCGGCUCACUGGACUGGUAUUGACGCUGAGGUGCGAAAGCGUGGGGAGCAAACAGG
Molecule: ribosomal RNA, 253 nt
Filed under: uncultured bacterium
Lineage: Bacteria
Description: partial 16S ribosomal RNA
Rfam family: Bacterial small subunit ribosomal RNA
Source: RNAcentral